GCUUGUCUCAAAGAUUAAGCCAUGCAUAUCUAAGAAUAACUAACAUUAUCUUGAAUCUGUGAAUGGCUCAUUAUAUCAGUUAUAGUUUACAUGAUAGUCAAUACUACUUGGAUAACCGUAGUAAUUCUAGAGCUAAUACAUGCAUAAAGACCCGACUUCUGGAAGGGUUGUAUUUAUUAGAUAAAAAUCAACUUUGUUGGUGAAUCAUAAUAACUUCUCGGACCGCAUGGCCUCGUGCUGGCGGUGCUUCAUUCAAAUAUCUGCCCUAUCAACUGUCGAUGGUAGGAUAGAGGCCUACCAUGGUUGCAACGGGUAACGGGGAAUAAGGGUUCGAUUCCGGAGAGGGAGCCUGAGAAACGGCUACCACAUCCAAGGAAGGCAGCAGG
This 386-nucleotide ribosomal RNA is filed under the name uncultured Exobasidiomycetes. RNAcentral describes it as "partial small subunit ribosomal RNA". It matches the Rfam family "Eukaryotic small subunit ribosomal RNA", at positions 30 to 432 of the family's 1831-position model. Lineage: Eukaryota; Fungi; Basidiomycota; Exobasidiomycetes. The record is from RNAcentral.